This 812-nucleotide ribosomal RNA is filed under the name uncultured organism. RNAcentral describes it as "SSU rRNA". It matches the Rfam family "Bacterial small subunit ribosomal RNA", at positions 26 to 828 of the family's 1533-position model. The record is from RNAcentral.
UGAUGAACGCUAGCUACAGGCUUAACACAUGCAAGUCGAGUGGCAGCAUGGUCUUAGCUUGCUAAGGCCGAUGGCGACCGGCGCACGGGUGAGUAACACGUAUCCAACCUGCCGUCUACUCUUGGACAGCCUUCUGAAAGGAAGAUUAAUACAAGAUGGCAUCAUGAGUUCACAUGUUCACAUGAUUAAAGGUAUUCCGGUAGACGAUGGGGAUGCGUUCCAUUAGAUAGUAGGCGGGGUAACGGCCCACCUAGUCUUCGAUGGAUAGGGGUUCUGAGAGGAAGGUCCCCCACAUUGGAACUGAGACACGGUCCAAACUCCUACGGGAGGCAGCAGUGAGGAAUAUUGGUCAAUGGGCGAGAGCCUGAACCAGCCAAGUAGCGUGAAGGAUGACUGCCCUAUGGGUUGUAAACUUCUUUUAUAAAGGAAUAAAGUCGGGUAUGGAUACCCGUUUGCAUGUACUUUAUGAAUAAGGAUCGGCUAACUCCGUGCCAGCAGCCGCGGUAAUACGGAGGAUCCGAGCGUUAUCCGGAUUUAUUGGGUUUAAAGGGAGCGUAGAUGGAUGUUUAAGUCAGUUGUGAAAGUUUGCGGCUCAACCGUAAAAUUGCAGUUGAUACUGGAUAUCUUGAGUGCAGUUGAGGCAGGCGGAAUUCGUGGUGUAGCGGUGAAAUGCUUAGAUAUCACGAAGAACUCCGAUUGCGAAAGCAGCCUGCUAAGCUGCAACUGACAUUGAGGCUCGAAAGUGUGGGUAUCAAACCGGAUUAGAUACCCUGGUAGUCCACACGGUAAACGAUGAAUACUCGCUGUUUGCG